GACGAACGCUGGCGGCGUGCUUAACACAUGCAAGUCGAACGGAAAGGCCCUGCUUUUGUGGGGUGCUCGAGUGGCGAACGGGUGAGUAACACGUGAGUAACCUGCCCUUGACUUUGGGAUAACUUCAGGAAACUGGGGCUAAUACCUGCUAGGAGCUCCUGCUGCAUGGUGGGGGUUGGAAAGUUUCGGCGGUAGGGGAUGGACUCGCGGCUUAUCAGCUUGUUGGUGGGGUAGUGGCUUACCAAGGCUUUGACGGAUAGCCGGCCUGAGAGGGUGACCGGCCACAUUGGGACUGAGAUACGGACCAGACUCCAACGGGAGGCAGCAGUGGGGAAUAUGGCACAAUGGGCGGAAGCCUGAUGAAGCAAUGUCGCGUGCGGGAUGACGGCCUUCGGGUUGUAAACCGCUUUCGCCUGUGACGAAGCGUGAGUGACGGUAAUGGGUAAAGAAGCACCGGCUAACUACGUG
RNAcentral lists this ribosomal RNA (468 nucleotides) under uncultured bacterium. RNAcentral describes it as "partial 16S ribosomal RNA". It matches the Rfam family "Bacterial small subunit ribosomal RNA", at positions 28 to 507 of the family's 1533-position model. The record is from RNAcentral.